This 478-nucleotide ribosomal RNA is filed under the name uncultured Planctomycetales bacterium. Its description in RNAcentral is "bacterial SSU rRNA". It matches the Rfam family "Bacterial small subunit ribosomal RNA", at positions 364 to 832 of the family's 1533-position model. Lineage: Bacteria; Pseudomonadati; Planctomycetota; Planctomycetia; Planctomycetales. The record is from RNAcentral.
UUUCGCAAUGCCCGAAAGGGUGACGAAGCGACGCCGCGUGCGGGAAGAAGGCCUCCGGGUUGUAAACCGCUGUCGGGAGUUAAGAAAUGCAAGGAUGUUAAUAGCAUCUUUGUUUGACUAAGGCUCCGGAGGAAGCCACGGCCAACUCUGUGCCAGCAGCCGCGGUAAUACAGAGGCGGCAAGCGUUGUUCGGAAUUAUUGGGCGUAAAGAGCACGUAGGCGGCUGUGUAAGUCGGUUGUGAAAGCCUUCCGCUUAACGGAAGAACGGCAUCCGAUACUGCAUAGCUCGAGUGCGGGAGGGGAGAGUGGAACUUCUGGUGGAGCGGUGAAAUGCGUAGAUAUCAGAAGGAACACCGGCGGCGAAGGCGACUCUCUGGCCCGUAACUGACGCUGAGUGUGCGAAGGCUAGGGGAGCAAACGGGAUUAGAUACCCCGGUAGUCCUAGCCGUAAACGAUGGGCACUAAGUAGAGGGGUUUU